AACGCAUAUUGCGCCCGCCGGUAUUCCGGCGGGCACGCCUGUCCGAGCGCCAUCGAAACCCCUCGGGCCCAGGCUCGCUGUUGGGCGACGCCCGCGAGGGCGCGCCCCGAACCCGUCGGCGGCCGCCGUCCGGCUCCGGAACGCACCGCGCCUCACGGCCACGCGCAAGCCGGGCUGGACGGAGGGCCCGCCACCGCUACCACGGAACAGAUGAAGGCCUCGGAUCAGGCGGGGUUACCCGCUGAACUUAA
Molecule: unclassified non-coding RNA, 251 nt
Filed under: uncultured fungus
Lineage: Eukaryota; Fungi
Description: partial contains 5.8S ribosomal RNA, internal transcribed spacer 2, and large subunit ribosomal RNA
Source: RNAcentral